This 1402-nucleotide ribosomal RNA is filed under the name uncultured bacterium. RNAcentral describes it as "16S ribosomal RNA". It matches the Rfam family "Bacterial small subunit ribosomal RNA". The record is from RNAcentral.
AGAGUUUGAUCCUGGCUCAGGAUGAACGCUAGCUACAGGCUUAACACAUGCAAGUCGAGGGGCAUCAUGGAGGUAGCAAUACUCCGAUGGCGACCGGCGAAUGGGUGAGUAACACGUAUCCAACCUGCCCCGUACUCAGGGAUAGCCCUUAGAAAUGAGGAUUAAUACCUGAUUGCGUCCGGAGGCUGCAUGGCCUCCGUACUAAAGAUUCAUCGGUACGGGAUGGGGAUGCGUCUGAUUAGGUAGUAGGCGGGGUAACGGCCCACCUAGCCUACGAUCAGUAGGGGUUCUGAGAGGAAGGUCCCCCACAUUGGUACUGAGACACGGACCAAACUCCUACGGGAGGCAGCAGUGAGGAACAUUGGUCAAUGGGCGCAAGCCUGAACCAGCCAAGUAGCGUGAAGGAUGACGGCCCUAUGGGUUGUAAACUUCUUUUUCCGGGGGAUAAAGUGAGCCACGUGUGGCUUAUUGCAGGCACCCGGUGAAUAAGGACCGGCUAAUUCCGUGCCAUCAGCCGCGGUAAUACAGAAGGUCCGAGCGUUAUCCGGAUUUAUUGGGUUUAAAGGGAGCGUAGGUGGAAAGGUAAGUCAGCCGUCAAAUCCGCGGAGCUCAACUCCGUUCAGCGGGUUGAUACUGUUUUUCUUGAAGUGCGCAAGAUGCAGGUGGAAUUCCAAGGUGUAUCGGUGAAAUGCUUAAAAUCCUCAAAAAACUCCUAUUUGCGAAAGCAGCUUGCUGGGGCCCAAAUGACACUGAGGGUUCUAAGGGGCGGGUAUCAAACAGGAUUAGGAUACCCUGGUAGUCCGCACAGUAAACUAUGGAUGCUCGCGGUGCGUGGAAUAUCCUUACGCCGCCUAGGGAAAGCGUUAAGCAUCCCACCUGGGGAGUACGCCGGCAACGGUGAAACUCAAAGGAAUUGACGGGGGCCCGCACAAGCGGAGGAACAUGUGGUUUAAUUCGAUGAUACGCGAGGAACCUUACCCGGGCUUGAAAGGGAGUCGACGGCAGGCAGAGACGCCUGCUUUCUUCGGACGGCUUCCUAGGUGCUGCAUGGUUGUCGUCAGCUCGUGCCGUGAGGUGUCGGCUUAAGUGCCAUAACGAGCGCAACCCUUAUCGUUGGUUACCAUCGGGUGAUGCCGGGGACUCCAGCGACACUGCCAUCGCAAGAUGUGAGGAAGGCGGGGAUGACGUCAAAUCAGCACGGCCCUUACGUCCGGGGCUACACACGUGUUACAAUGGGGGGUACAGCAAGCAGGUCCGCGGCGACGCGGGUCGAAUCCCUAAAACCCCUCCCAGUUCGGACUGGAGUCUGCAACCCGACUCCACGAAGCUGGAUUCGCUAGUAAUCGCGCAUCAGCCAUGGCGCGGUGAAUACAAUCCCGGGCCUUGCACACACCGCCCGUCA